Molecule: small nuclear RNA, 99 nt
Filed under: Erinaceus europaeus (western European hedgehog)
Lineage: Eukaryota; Metazoa; Chordata; Mammalia; Eulipotyphla; Erinaceidae
Description: U11 spliceosomal RNA (ENSEEUG00000019612.1)
Rfam family: U11 spliceosomal RNA
Source: RNAcentral
AAAAAGGGCUUCUGUCAUGAGUGACACAUGUAGGGCAGCUUGCUUGCUCUAUGUGCAGAAUCGACAUCAAGAAAUUUCGGAAGCAUAUAUAUAUAUUUU